GAUGAACGCUAGCGACAGGCUUAACACAUGCAAGUCGAGGGGCAGCGAGGGAGUGCUUGCACUUCUGUCGGCGACCGGCGCACGGGUGAGUAACACGUAUGCAACCUGCCCUUGUCAGGGGGAUAAGCGAGGGAAACCUCGUCUAAUACCGCAUAUAUGGUUUUGAGGCAUCUCUUAAUCAGGAAAGAAUUAUCGGACAAGGAUGGGCAUGCGGGACAUUAGGUAGUUGGGGGGUGUAACGGACCACCAAGCCGACGAUGUCUAGGGGUUCUGAGAGGAAGGUCCCCCACACUGGUACUGAGACACGGACCAGACUCCUACGGGAGGCAGCAGUGAGGAAUAUUGGUCAAUGGUCGAAGGACUGAACCAGCCAUGCCGCGUGAAGGUGACGGCCCUAUGGGUCUUAAACUUCUUUUGUAAGGGAGCAAUAAGGUCUACGUGUAGGCCGAUGAGAGUACCUUACGAAUAAGCAUCGGCUAACUCCGUGCCAGCAGCCG
This 497-nucleotide ribosomal RNA is filed under the name uncultured bacterium. RNAcentral's name for it is "bacterial SSU rRNA". It matches the Rfam family "Bacterial small subunit ribosomal RNA", at positions 28 to 517 of the family's 1533-position model. The record is from RNAcentral.